This 583-nucleotide ribosomal RNA is filed under the name Baetisca lacustris. RNAcentral describes it as "SSU rRNA". It matches the Rfam family "Eukaryotic small subunit ribosomal RNA", at positions 572 to 1122 of the family's 1831-position model. Lineage: Eukaryota; Metazoa; Arthropoda; Insecta; Ephemeroptera; Baetiscidae. The record is from RNAcentral.
AGCCGCGGUAAUUCCAGCUCCAUUGGCGUAUAUUAAAGUUGUUGCGGUUAAAAAGCUCGUAGUUGGAUCUGUGUAUCGGACGGUCGGUUCGCCGCUCGCGGUGUUUAACUGACCGGUCCGGACGUCCUGCCGGUGGGCGCCGGUUCGCGCCGGUGCCCGUAACUCCCUCCGCGCUGCUCUUAACCGAGUGGUUCGGUGGGCCGGCACGUUUACUUUGAACAAAUUUGAGUGCUCAAAGCAGGCCUUUUGUUGCCUGAAAACUGUGUGCAUGGAAUAAUGGAAUAGGGCCUUGGUUCUAUUUUGUUGGUUUUCUGAACUCGAGGUAAUGAUUAAUAGGGACAGACGGGGGCAUUCGUAUUGCGACGUUAGAGGUGAAAUUCUUGGAUCGUCGCAAGACGGACCGAUGCGAAAGCGUUUGCCAAGAAUGUUUUCGCUAAUCAAGAACGAAAGUUAGAGGUUCGAAGGCGAUCAGAUACCGCCCUAGUUCUAACCAUAAACGAUGCCAGCCAGCGAUGCGCCGACGUUCCUCCGAUGACUCGGCGCGCAGCUUCCGGGAAACCAAAGCUUUUGGGUUCCGGGGGAA